UUGAAGUGUCAAAAAAUAAAAAAACCUUCCAAUCCAGUAUAGUAAAUGAAUUUGGAGUUUUGGGGGAAAUUUACAACAAGAGUUUGGCAAAUGAUUUAAAAAUGGAGUCUUGUAUCGAAACACAAAGAGAGAAAGAUCCUUGGUGGAUGGUGGAUUUGCAAUCAACAUAUCCAGUAGAAUAUGUUUCUCUCACUGGCCGGAAAGAUUGUUGCCAACAUGAGAUGGAUGGAGCACUUAUUCUGGUUGGAAAUUCAUCAGAAAAUGGUGGUAAAUCAAAUUCGAGCCUCAGAGAAAACUGUUUCAUGGAGUUGAAGAGGAUUGGUGAGGGGAAAAAAAGAAAAGCAAGAAAAUACAUUUUUAAGAAAUUUAGCAAUGAAAAGAAGGACAAUAGGACAAUAACUUGAGAGAAUGACAGUGUCAAGGGAAAACUUAGUAGAUUAAGAGAGUGCUGAACACGUUUGUUGGCAGAAAGGAAGAACUUGGUAGGAAGAGAGAGAAUAAAGACGAACAAAAUAAUGCUUGAUAGAGCAAUAUUCCAUUGAAGACCAAAGUAGAUUGGAUUAAAACCACAAGCGAACGAUUUG
This 584-nucleotide long non-coding RNA is filed under the name Sarcophilus harrisii (Tasmanian devil). RNAcentral's name for it is "lncRNA (ENSSHAG00000028614.1)". Lineage: Eukaryota; Metazoa; Chordata; Mammalia; Dasyuromorphia; Dasyuridae. The record is from RNAcentral.